CGCACCGGGAAGGUCGGCACGCACGCGGUCGUCGCCCGUGUAGACCUCGGCGUCGCCGACGACGCCCCCCAGUUCGACGCCGGGCCGGGCGA
RNAcentral lists this transfer RNA (92 nucleotides) under Rugosimonospora africana. RNAcentral's name for it is "tRNA-Asp". Lineage: Bacteria; Bacillati; Actinomycetota; Actinomycetes; Micromonosporales; Micromonosporaceae. The record is from RNAcentral.